AACGAACGCUGGCGGCAUGCCUAACACAUGCAAGUCGAACGGAAGCACGGACUUCGGUCUGGUGGCGAGUGGCGAACGGGUGAGUAAUGUAUCGGAACGUGCCCAGUCGUGGGGGAUAACGUAGUGAAAAUUACGCUAAUACCGCAUACGAUCUAUGGAUGAAAGCGGGGGAUCGCAAGAACUCGCGCGAUUGGAGCGGACGAUAUCAGAUUAGGUAGUUGGUGGGGUAAAGGCCCACCAAGCCAACGAUCUGUAGCAGGAUUGAGAGGACGACCAGCCACAAUGGAACUGAGACACGGUCCAGACUCCUACGGGAGGCAGCAGUGGGGAAUUUUGGACAAUGGGCGAAAGCCUGAUCCAGCCAUUCCGCGUGCAGGAUGAAGGCCCUCGGGUUGUAAACUGCUUUUGUACAGAACGAAAAGGUUUCUACUAAUACUAGGAGCUCAUGACGGUACUGUAAGAAUAAGCACCGGCUAACUACGUGCCAGCAGCCGCGGUAA
This 500-nucleotide ribosomal RNA is filed under the name uncultured bacterium. Its description in RNAcentral is "partial 16S ribosomal RNA". It matches the Rfam family "Bacterial small subunit ribosomal RNA", at positions 29 to 523 of the family's 1533-position model. The record is from RNAcentral.